UGGGGAAUAUUGCACAAUGGGGGAAACCCUGAUGCAGCGACGCCGCGUGAGCGAAGAAGGCCUUCGGGUCGUAAAGCUCUUUUAUGAGGGAAGAUAAUGACGGUACCUCAAGAAAAAGCCCCGGCUAACUACGUGCCAGCAGCCGCGGUAAUACGUAGGGGGCUAGCGUUGUCCGGAAUCACUGGGCGUAAAGGGUUCGCAGGCGGAAUAACAAGUCAGAUGUGAAAGGCAUGGGCUCAACCCAUGUAAGCAUUUGAAACUGUAAUUCUUGAGAAGUGGAGAGGUAAGUGGAAUUCCUAGUGUAGCGGUGAAAUGCGUAGAUAUUGGGAGGAACACCAGUAGCGAAGGCGGCUUUAUGGACUGCAACAGACACUGAGGAACGAAAGCGUGGGUAGCAAACAGG
This 403-nucleotide ribosomal RNA is filed under the name Verrucomicrobiota bacterium. RNAcentral describes it as "Verrucomicrobia bacterium partial 16S ribosomal RNA". It matches the Rfam family "Bacterial small subunit ribosomal RNA", at positions 355 to 776 of the family's 1533-position model. The record is from RNAcentral. Lineage: Bacteria; Pseudomonadati; Verrucomicrobiota.